CUUUAAUCUGACAGUAGACACAGCACAGGCGAGACACAGCACAGGUGAGACACAGCACAGGUGAGACACAGCACAGGUGAGACACAACACAGGUGAGACACAGCACAUUGAGACACAGCACAGGUGAGACACAGCACAGGUGAGACACAGCACAGGUGAGACACAACACAGGUGAGACACAGCACAGGUGAGACACAGCACAUUGAGACACAGCACAGGUGAGACACAGCACAGGUGAGACACAGCACAGGUGAGACACAGCACAGGUGAGACACAGCACAGGUGAGACACAACACAGGUGAGACACAGCACAGGUGAGACACAGCACAUUGAGACACAGCACAGGUGAGACACAGCACAGGUGAGACACAGCACAUUGAGACACAGCACAGGUGAGACACAGCACAGGUGAGACACAACACAGGUGAGACACAACACAGGUGAGACACAGCACAUUGAGACACAGCACAGGUGAGACACAACACAGGUGAGACACAGCACAUUGAGACACAGCACAGGUGAGACACAACACAGGUGAGACACAGCACAGGUGAGACACAAACAUCAGCUGCUUAGCUUAG
Molecule: long non-coding RNA, 581 nt
Organism: Epinephelus fuscoguttatus (brown-marbled grouper)
Lineage: Eukaryota; Metazoa; Chordata; Actinopteri; Perciformes; Serranidae
Exons: 3
Source: RefSeq, a predicted model, not a curated record